GACGAACGCUGGCGGCGUGCCUAAUACAUGCAAGUUGAGCGCUGAAGGUUGGUACUUGUACCAACUGGAUGAGCAGCGAACGGGUGAGUAACGCGUGGGGAAUCUGCCUUUGAGCGGGGGACAACAUUUGGAAACGAAUGCUAAUACCGCAUAAAAACUUUAAACACAAGUUUUAAGUUUGAAAGAUGCAAUUGCAUCACUCAAAGAUGAUCCCGCGUUGUAUUAGCUAGUUGGUGAGGUAAAGGCUCACCAAGGCGAUGAUAUAUAGCCGACCUGAGAGGGUGAUCGGCCACAUUGGGACUGAGACACGGCCCAAACUCCUACGGGAGGCAGCAGUAGGGAAUCUUCGGCAAUGGACGAAAGUCUGACCGAGCAACGCCGCGUGAGUGAAGAAGGCUUUCGGAUCGUAAAACUCUGUUGGUAGAGAAGAACGUUGGUGAGAGUGGAAAGCUCAUCAAGUGACGGUAACUACCCAGAAAGGGACGGCUAACUACGUG
Molecule: ribosomal RNA, 497 nt
Filed under: uncultured bacterium
Lineage: Bacteria
Description: partial 16S ribosomal RNA
Rfam family: Bacterial small subunit ribosomal RNA
Source: RNAcentral